UCCACACCCGACAAUGCAGCCUUCUGAGCCACCUCACUCAUACAGACCUGGGAGGAACUCUUGACUCUCCAGCUCCAUACUUCAGGGGCUUGAACAAACCACCAGGCCUGAGACCCAGUCCCCUCCAUUGUCAAACAGGACUGCAACAAAAGUGUCCGGGAGAUGGAACAUUUCUCCUCAGGGGACUUCCAGAGCCACCAUUACACACUGCAAUCUCUUCCACAUAAGUCAAAUAGGACACUGGUGUGAUUUUUAACGCCUCGGAAAAUCCAGCCCAAGCCGCACCCAGGGCCCAGGAGGGCACUGAGUGAAGACAUGCAGUCCUUCCUUUCUCUAGCUUAGUGUUUCUCAACCUUCCUAACGCCGCCACCCAUUAGUGCAGUCCCUCACGUUGUGAGGACCCUAAUUACAAAAUUAUCGCCUUGCUA
This is a long non-coding RNA of Mesocricetus auratus (golden hamster), 428 nucleotides long. RefSeq lists it as uncharacterized. The record is from RefSeq and is a predicted model, not a curated record. Lineage: Eukaryota; Metazoa; Chordata; Mammalia; Rodentia; Cricetidae. The transcript has 2 exons.